Molecule: ribosomal RNA, 1520 nt
Filed under: Galbibacter pacificus
Lineage: Bacteria; Pseudomonadati; Bacteroidota; Flavobacteriia; Flavobacteriales; Flavobacteriaceae
Description: bacterial SSU rRNA
Rfam family: Bacterial small subunit ribosomal RNA
Source: RNAcentral
ACGAUGAAGAGUUUGAUCCUGGCUCAGGAUGAACGCUAGCGGCAGGCCUAACACAUGCAAGUCGAGGGGUAGAAGGGAGCUUGCUCCCUUUGAGACCGGCGCACGGGUGCGUAACGCGUAUGCGACCUACCUUUUACUGGGGGAUAGCCCGGAGAAAUCCGGAUUAAUACCCCAUGGCCCGCGAUGUCCGCAUGGACGUCACGGUAAAGUUCCGGCGGUAAAAGAUGGGCAUGCGUCCUAUUAGCUUGAUGGAGCGGUAACGGCGCCCCAUGGCAACGAUAGGUAGGGGUCCUGAGAGGGAGACCCCCCACACUGGUACUGAGACACGGACCAGACUCCUACGGGAGGCAGCAGUGAGGAAUAUUGGACAAUGGUCGGAAGACUGAUCCAGCCAUGCCGCGUGCAGGAAGACUGCCCUAUGGGUUGUAAACUGCUUUUGUACGGGAAGAAUAAGGCCCACGUGUGGGCCGGUGACGGUACCGUACGAAUAAGCACCGGCUAACUCCGUGCCAGCAGCCGCGGUAAUACGGAGGGUGCAAGCGUUAUCCGGAAUCAUUGGGUUUAAAGGGUCCGUAGGCGGGCCGGUAAGUCAGGGGUGAAAUUCCAUAGCUCAACUAUGGGACUGCCCUUGAUACUGCCGGCCUUGAAUUUGCAGGAAGUGGCUGGAAUGAGUGGUGUAGCGGUGAAAUGCAUAGAUAUUACUCAGAACACCUAUUGCGAAGGCAGGUCACUACUGCACGAUUGACGCUGAUGGACGAAAGCGUGGGGAGCGAACAGGAUUAGAUACCCUGGUAGUCCACGCCGUAAACGAUGGAUACUAGCUGUUGGGCCCUUGGGCUCAGUGGCCAAGCGAAAGUGAUAAGUAUCCCACCUGGGGAGUACGUUCGCAAGAAUGAAACUCAAAGGAAUUGACGGGGGCCCGCACAAGCGGUGGAGCAUGUGGUUUAAUUCGAUGAUACGCGAGGAACCUUACCAGGGCUUAAAUGUAGUCCGACGGGAGUGGAAACACUUUUUUCUUCGGACGGGCUACAAGGUGCUGCAUGGUUGUCGUCAGCUCGUGCCGUGAGGUGUCAGGUUAAGUCCUAUAACGAGCGCAACCCCUGCCGUUAGUUGCCAGCGAGUGAAGUCGGGAACUCUAGCGGGACUGCCGGUGCAAACCGAGAGGAAGGUGGGGAUGACGUCAAAUCAUCACGGCCCUUACGUCCUGGGCCACACACGUGCUACAAUGGCCGGUACAGAGAGCAGCCACGCCGCAAGGCGGAGCGAAUCUACAAAACCGGUCACAGUUCGGAUCGGGGUCUGCAACUCGACCCCGUGAAGCUGGAAUCGCUAGUAAUCGGAUAUCAGCCAUGAUCCGGUGAAUACGUUCCCGGGCCUUGUACACACCGCCCGUCAAGCCAUGGAAGCUGGGGGUACCUGAAGUCGGUGACCGCAAGGAGCUGCCUAGGGUAAGACCGGUAACUGGGGCUAAGUCGUAACAAGGUAGCCGUACCGGAAGGUGCGGCUGGAACACCUCCUUU